Molecule: ribosomal RNA, 446 nt
Filed under: uncultured bacterium
Lineage: Bacteria
Description: partial 16S ribosomal RNA
Rfam family: Bacterial small subunit ribosomal RNA
Source: RNAcentral
UAGGGAAUCUUCCACAAUGGACGAAAGUCUGAUGGAGCAACGCCGCGUGAGUGAUGAAGGGUUUCGGCUCGUAAAACUCUGUUGUUGGAGAAGAACGGGUGUCAGAGUAACUGUUGACAUCGUGACGGUAUCCAACCAGAAAGCCACGGCUAACUACGUGCCAGCAGCCGCGGUAAUACGUAGGUGGCAAGCGUUGUCCGGAUUAUUGGGCGUAAAGCGAGCGCAGGCGGUUUUUUAGGUCUGAUGUGAAAGCCUUCGGCUUAACCGGAGAAGUGCAUCGGAAACCGGGAGACUUGAGUGCAGAAGAGGACAGUGGAACUCCAUGUGUAGCGGUGAAAUGCGUAGAUAUAUGGAAGAACACCAGUGGCGAAGGCGGCUGUCUGGUCUGCAACUGACGCUGAGGCUCGAAAGCAUGGGUAGCGAACAGGAUUAGAUACCCUGGUAGU